This 146-nucleotide microRNA precursor is filed under the name Gossypium raimondii (Peruvian cotton). Its description in RNAcentral is "MIR7502 microRNA precursor family". It matches the Rfam family "MIR7502 microRNA precursor family". Lineage: Eukaryota; Viridiplantae; Streptophyta; Magnoliopsida; Malvales; Malvaceae. The record is from Rfam by way of RNAcentral.
UGUUAAAUUUUUUUAUCAAGUUCUACUAUUAAAAACUAGUAUGACUAAUAGAAUAACCAGAUCGUUACAUGUGGCAUACCACGUGUACAUCAUUUUAAUGUACAAGGACCAGCUUUUAACAAUAGAAAUGGAUGAAAUCUUUAACA